RNAcentral lists this unclassified non-coding RNA (338 nucleotides) under soil metagenome. Its description in RNAcentral is "partial contains 5.8S ribosomal RNA, internal transcribed spacer 2, and large subunit ribosomal RNA". The stretch from base 1 to 120 matches the Rfam family "5.8S ribosomal RNA", at positions 35 to 154 of the family's 154-position model. The record is from RNAcentral.
GAUGAAGAACGUAGCGAAAUGCGAUAAGUAGUGUGAAUUGCAGAAUUCAGUGAAUCAUCGAAUCUUUGAACGCACAUUGCGCCCCAUGGUAUUCCGUGGGGCAUGCCUGUUCGAGCGUCAUUUACCCCCUCAAGCUCCGCUUGGUGUUGGGCGUCUGUCCCGCUUCGCGCGCGGACUCGCCCCAAAGGUAUUGGCAGCGGUCGUGCCAGCUUCUCGCGCAGCACAUUGCGCUUCUCGAGGCACCGGUGGGCCCGCGUCCAUCAAGCUCACCCCCCCAGUUUGACCUCGGAUCAGGUAGGGAUACCCGCUGAACUUAAGCAUAUCAAAUAAGCGGAGGA